Molecule: non-coding RNA, 112 nt
Organism: Pseudomonas sp.
Lineage: Bacteria; Pseudomonadati; Pseudomonadota; Gammaproteobacteria; Pseudomonadales; Pseudomonadaceae
Source: Rfam
CUGGCCUGUUGAAACUGUUUUUCGACAAACAGUUUCCUGAUAAAAGGAUUGCCUCAUGGCUCUCGACGUUCAAGAAAAAGCUCAAAUCGUUGCUGACUACCAGCAAGCUGUU